Non-coding RNA from Podarcis muralis (Common wall lizard), 621 nucleotides. NCBI's taxonomy places the organism in Eukaryota, Metazoa, Chordata, Lepidosauria, Squamata, Lacertidae. The record is from RefSeq and is a predicted model, not a curated record.
CUGGGGCAGAUGAAGGCGUUUGGUUGUGCUGCUGCAGAUGUACCAUGGCGUUUCUUCUCUCUGCGCUGCUCCUCCUCUGGUCACCGCCAGCAAAAAAAGAUGUUGGUACUCUGUAUGGGAAACAGUCCAGAAUUCCACAGCCAAGCCUAUUUGAAUUCAGAGGGCAUAUGAUUUACAGAGGCAUCUUAAUCCCUCUGUAAGCAUCAAAGAAUGCAGGGGAAAAGAAAUCAAUGUCAGAAUCAUUACCUCAACCGUCAGAUGAUGAAAUAAACCCUGUUCCAAGACAAUUUAAAAAACCAAUAGACCCAAGGAUUUUUCUAAGAAGAUAUUGUUGUUUUUUGAACUAUGAAGUUAGUUUGUCUUGCUGUCUAAUUCACCAUACUAAUUGCAUUUGACCUUGAAAUAUGGGUCCUGGUAAUUAUUACGGUAUAUUUCUCAAGGACUAUGAGAGACAUCAGAGCUGUUGCGAUGUCAGCCAGUAUAUACUAAUUGUCAGUGGUACCUUUUGGGAUACUGGUGAUUUAAACAAAUAAUGAUAAUGAUAGUCAAUCCAAAUCAGUGAGAGCUCCAUCAGUAGAGCAUGAGACUCUUAAUCUCAGGAUCUGAGGUUUGAGCCCCACG